Molecule: non-coding RNA, 73 nt
Organism: Sporothrix brasiliensis 5110
Lineage: Eukaryota; Fungi; Ascomycota; Sordariomycetes; Ophiostomatales; Ophiostomataceae
Source: the annotation of a RefSeq genome assembly
GAGGCUAUAGCUUAAUUGGUAGAGCAUACUGCUCAUGACAGUACUAAUGAGUGUUCGACUCACUCUAGCCUUA